RNAcentral lists this ribosomal RNA (427 nucleotides) under uncultured bacterium. RNAcentral describes it as "bacterial SSU rRNA". It matches the Rfam family "Bacterial small subunit ribosomal RNA", at positions 354 to 796 of the family's 1533-position model. The record is from RNAcentral.
GUGAGGAAUAUUGCGCAAUGGGGGAAACCCUGACGCAGCGACGCCGCGUGGGUGAUGAAGGCCUUCGGGUCGUAAAACCCUUUUCGCAGGGACGAGUGAGGACGGUACCUGUGGAAUAAGUCUCGGCUAACUACGUGCCAGCAGCCGCGGUAAAACGUAGGAGGCAAGCGUUAUCCGGAUUCACUGGGCGUAAAGCGCGCGUAGGCGGUCGGGCAAGUCGGAUGUUAAAGCCCCUGGCUCAACUGGGGGAGGUCAUUCGAUACUGCUCGGCUUGAGGGUGAGAGAGGAAAGCGGAAUUCCCGGUGUAGCGGUGGAAUGCGUAGAGAUCGGGAGGAACACCAGCGGCGAAAGCGGCUUUCUGGCUCACUCCUGACGCUGAGAGCGCGACAGCGUGGGGAGCAAACGGGAUUAGAAACCCGAGUAGUCC